Sipha flava (yellow sugarcane aphid) is the source of this 488-nucleotide long non-coding RNA. RefSeq lists it as uncharacterized. Lineage: Eukaryota; Metazoa; Arthropoda; Insecta; Hemiptera; Aphididae. The record is from RefSeq and is a predicted model, not a curated record. The transcript is spliced from 6 exons.
GGAUUUUUUUUUUGAAUCGACCCAAAUCAAUUUUCCUCCGUGAGCCAGGGAUCCCCUUUUCAUUUCUCCUUCUGAACUCUACACUUUGAAUAUUUAAUGAACUAGGAUUUCUCUUUCUUUCAACCUAAACAAAGUGUCCUUCAAGAGCCGGAACCUGGAUUUUUUUUUUGGAUCGACCCAAAUCAAUUUUCCUCCGGGAGCCGGGGAUCCCCUUUUCAUUUCUCCUUCUGAACUCUACACUUUGAAUAUUUAAUGAACUUGGAUUUCUCUUUCUUUCAACCUAAACAAAGUGUCCUUCAAGAGCCGGAACCUGGAUUUUUUUUUUGGAUCGACCCAAAUCAAUUUUCCUCCGGGAGCCGGGGAUCCCCUUUUCAUUUCUCCUUCUGAACUCUACACUUUGAAUAUUUAAUGAACUAGGAUUUUUCUUUCUUUCAACCUAAACAAAGUGUCCUUCAAGAGCCGGGUAAUCUUUUAUAAUAUUUUUUGUU